CUAGACUUUUGGUGAGAGGUUGCAAGUCCCGGUAUUGUCACUGCCUUUGGGAUGACAAUGAACGACCCUCCCAACCAACCCGAGGGAGAGCCUCAAGGUUUGACUUGAUCCUUGACUAAGCUUGGCCAUAAAAUGGCGCAGAUAGCGCAGAUAGCCUCAAGGUUCAACAAGCCCAGGAUCACAUCUGAAUCACUGACAUCCCCAUUCUGUAGGAAAGGAGCCUUGGAAAGGAGAACCCAUCAAAGAUCGUCUCGAAAACACAUGCCUUGAUCAGGAUAUGCUGAAAAACCACCGAUGAAGAAAAUCACUUCAUCAUCAUCAUCGUGGAAGUUUUAUAACCCUUUUGGGUCUUCAACUUAUAAGCUACAACUUCAUGUCAGAGAUACAUGGAAUACUGUCAGGAACAAACCUGAUGAAAGAACUCUCAUUGCUUCCACCAAUGUUCGCGUUGAUACAGAGCUGGACGACCCCAUCGAUGCUCUUGUUUCAGGCAAAUGUAAUG
Molecule: long non-coding RNA, 502 nt
Organism: Lineus longissimus
Lineage: Eukaryota; Metazoa; Nemertea; Pilidiophora; Heteronemertea; Lineidae
Exons: 3
Source: RefSeq, a predicted model, not a curated record